This 400-nucleotide ribosomal RNA is filed under the name uncultured Bacillota bacterium. RNAcentral's name for it is "uncultured Firmicutes bacterium partial 16S ribosomal RNA". It matches the Rfam family "Bacterial small subunit ribosomal RNA", at positions 9 to 410 of the family's 1533-position model. Lineage: Bacteria; Bacillati; Bacillota. The record is from RNAcentral.
GAGUUUGAUCAUGGCUCAGGACGAACGCUGGCGGCGUGCCUAACACAUGCAAGUCGAGCGAUGAAACCCUUCAAGAUGGAUUAGCGGCGGCCGGGUGAGUAAAAAAAAAAUAACCUGCCUCAAAGAGGGGGAUAGCCUCCCGAAAGGGAGAUUAAUACCGCAUAACAUUAUUUCUUCGCAAAAAGAGAUAAUCAAAGGAGUAAUCCGCUUUGAGAUGGACCCGCGGCGCAUUAGCUAGUUGGUGAGGUAAUGGCUCACCAAGGCAACGAUGCGUAGCCGACCUGAGAGGGUGAUCGGCCACAUUGGAACUGAGAUACGGUCCAGACUCCUACGGGAGGCAGCAGUGGGGAAUAUUGCGCAAUGGGGGAAACCCUGACGCAGCAACGCCGCGUGGGUGAAG